UGGGGAAUAUUGCACAAUGGGCGAAAGCCUGAUGCAGCAACGCCGCGUGAGUGAUGAAGGUCUUCGGAUUGUAAAGCUCUGUCUUUUGGGACGAUAAUGACGGUACCAAAGGAGGAAGCCACGGCUAACUACGUGCCAGCAGCCGCGGUAAUACGUAGGUGGCGAGCGUUGUCCGGAUUUACCGGGCGUAAAGGGUGCGUAGGCGGAUGUUUAAGUGAGAUGUGAAAUACCCGGGCUUAACUUGGGUGCUGCAUUUCAAACUGGAUAUCUAGAGUGCAGGAGAGGAGAAUGGAAUUCCUAGUGUAGCGGUGAAAUGCGUAGAGAUUAGGAAGAACACCAGUGGCCGAAGGCGAUUCUCUGGACUGUAACUGACGCUGAGGCACGAAAGCGUGGGUAGCAAACAGGAUUAGAUACCCUGGUAGUCCACGCCGUAAACGAUGAGUACUAGGUGUAGGAGGUAUCGACCCCUUCUGUGCCGCAGUAAACACAUUAAGUACUCCGCCUGGGAAGUACGAUCGCAAGAUUAAAACUCUAAAGUGAAUUGAC
RNAcentral lists this ribosomal RNA (546 nucleotides) under uncultured bacterium. Its description in RNAcentral is "partial 16S ribosomal RNA". It matches the Rfam family "Bacterial small subunit ribosomal RNA", at positions 355 to 914 of the family's 1533-position model. The record is from RNAcentral.